RNAcentral lists this ribosomal RNA (253 nucleotides) under uncultured bacterium. RNAcentral's name for it is "partial 16S ribosomal RNA". It matches the Rfam family "Bacterial small subunit ribosomal RNA", at positions 524 to 776 of the family's 1533-position model. The record is from RNAcentral.
UACGUAGGGGGCAAGCGUUGUUCGGAAUUACUGGGCGUAAAGGGCGCGUAGGCGGCACAGCAAGUCGGGAGUGAAAGCCCGGGGCUCAACCCCGGAACGUCUUUCGAAACUGCUGAGCUCGAGUGCGGAAGAGGCAACUGGAAUUCCCAGUGUAGCGGUGAAAUGCGUAGAUAUUGGGAAGAACACCUGAGGCGAAGGCGGGUUGCUGGGCCGACACUGACGCUGAGGCGCGAAAGCCAGGGGAGCAAACGGG